This is a long non-coding RNA of Juglans microcarpa x Juglans regia, 581 nucleotides long. RefSeq lists it as uncharacterized. The transcript has 2 exons. The record is from RefSeq and is a predicted model, not a curated record. NCBI's taxonomy places the organism in Eukaryota, Viridiplantae, Streptophyta, Magnoliopsida, Fagales, Juglandaceae.
UCCUCUUCUCUCCUACUCUAAAACGCUAGCUUGCCGCUCAACCAGCUAGCUCUUUCUUUUCACUAAUUUAAUUCAGGUUAAUUAGCUAGCAACAGUGGCCGUGAUGAUGGGGUUGGAGAGGUUGGUAGUGACUUUAAAAUCUAAAAUAAGGUCCAGCUUGAAGAUGAAGAAACCUUAUGAUAAAAUCGAAAAGAGCGAGAGCAUGAGAUUUGAGAUAAGAAGCCGGAAGGCUCGGAAGCUUAUUGAAAAGACCUUGAAAACCGCGGAUUCGCCAAAGACCAUGAUCAAGACUAGUACUUCAGCGUACGUAGCUGGUGUACGUUUCUAAUCAUCAUCCAAUGCUUGAAACAACAACCAUAUAUGCUAGCUGGUUAAUUAAUUCCUACUUUUUUAUGUACGUUAGCCAUUGUGCAUGCAUGGUUUAAUAUACGAUCGAGAUGCUGAUCAGGAUUCCCCUCCGCCGGCCUAGCUCUCUGAUCACUCUCUCUUCUUGCGAGUAAUUUACUAUUUAAAUAUUUAUGAUUAUGCAUAUAUGCAAGGCCUUGUACAACCAUAUAUAUUAGGUUUUUAAAAUGCUUUAA